This 436-nucleotide ribosomal RNA is filed under the name Nannocalanus minor Type II. RNAcentral's name for it is "partial 16S large subunit ribosomal RNA". Lineage: Eukaryota; Metazoa; Arthropoda; Copepoda; Calanoida; Calanidae. The record is from RNAcentral.
AAAUAUUUUUAAGAUACCUGCUCAGUGAAUAUUUUAAAUACCCGCUUUAGUGCUAAGGUAGCAUAAUAAUUAGUUUUUUAAUUGAAAAAUAGAAUGAAUGGUUUUACUAAAAUUUAUAUUUUAAAAUCUUAAAACGAAGUUUUAUUUUUAGUGAAAAUACUAAAAAAAUAUUUUUAGACGAGAAGACCCUAUGAAGCUAAAAAUCAUUACAAGAACUAUAAAAAGACUUGAUUUAUUUUUUGGGGAAAAAUUUAAUCAAUAUAUUAAUAAUAUUUUAUAUGAAUAUAUCCUUAAAGGAAUAUUGAAAAAGCUCCUCUAGGGAUAACAGCAUAAUGUUUAUUAGAGUUCUUAUCGGAAUAAACGUUUGUGACCUCGAUGUUGAAUUAAAUAUUUUUAUAUGUGCAGAAGCUUAUAAAAAAAGGUCUGUUCGACCUUA